CUAUUUGCUAACAAUCAGACAACGUCCCCUUGUGGGAUUAUGUCGUGCCUAUUGAAGAAUGAGCCGGCGAGUAUUUGAUAACUGCAGGUUAAGACACUUCCGUGUUGGAGCCAAAGUGAAAGCGAGCCUGAAUAGGGCGAAAUAUUGUAGUUAUUGAAUGACCCGAAACCGGGUGAGCUUACCAUGGCCAGGCUGAAGCCCUGAUAGUAUCGGGGUGGAGGGCCGAACCGGUGUUUGCUGCAAGAAGCUCGGAUGAGUUGUGGUUAGAGGUAAUAUGCCAAUCGAACCCGGAGAUAGCUGGUUCUCCCUGAAAUAUAUUUAGGUAUAGGGUCAUGUGAAGUAUGCGUGGGGGUAGAGCACUGAUCGGGUGUCUUCGUCGAAAGAUGGAGCAUCUAGUCAAACUCCGAAUACUCUGUGUUAUUCCGUGGCACUCAGCACCUGGGAGCUAAGUUCCAGGAGCAAAAGGGUAACAAUCCAGACCAACAGCUAAGGUCUCUAAUAU
This 502-nucleotide ribosomal RNA is filed under the name Candidatus Woesebacteria bacterium. Its description in RNAcentral is "partial 23S ribosomal RNA". It matches the Rfam family "Bacterial large subunit ribosomal RNA", at positions 556 to 1054 of the family's 2925-position model. The record is from RNAcentral. Lineage: Bacteria; Candidatus Woeseibacteriota.